AUUGAACGCUGGCGGCAUGCUUUACACAUGCAAGUCGAACGGCAGCACGGGCUUCGGCCUGGUGGCGAGUGGCGAACGGGUGAGUAAUAUAUCGGAACGUACCCAGCAGUGGGGGAUAACGUAGCGAAAGUUACGCUAAUACCGCAUACGAUCUAUGGAUGAAAGCAGGGGACCGCAAGGCCUUGUGCUCCUGGAGCGGCCGAUAUCGGAUUAGCUAGUUGGUGAGGUAAAGGCUCACCAAGGCGACGAUCAGUAGCUGGUCUGAGAGGACGACCAGCCACACUGGAACUGAGACACGGUCCAGACUCCUACGGGAGGCAGCAGUGGGGAAUUUUGGACAAUGGGCGCAAGCCUGAUCCAGCAAUGCCGCGUGAGUGAAGAAGGCCUUCGGGUUGUAAAGCUCUUUUGUCAGGGAAGAAACGGUAGAGGCUAAUAUCCUUUGCUAAUGACGGUACCUGAAGAAUAAGCACCGGCUAACUACGUG
RNAcentral lists this ribosomal RNA (484 nucleotides) under uncultured bacterium. Its description in RNAcentral is "partial 16S ribosomal RNA". It matches the Rfam family "Bacterial small subunit ribosomal RNA", at positions 30 to 507 of the family's 1533-position model. The record is from RNAcentral.